RNAcentral lists this ribosomal RNA (303 nucleotides) under uncultured bacterium. RNAcentral's name for it is "partial 16S ribosomal RNA". It matches the Rfam family "Bacterial small subunit ribosomal RNA", at positions 507 to 809 of the family's 1533-position model. The record is from RNAcentral.
AGCAGUCGCCGCGGUAAUACGUAGGGUGCAAGCGUUAAUCGGAAUUACUGGGCGUAAAGCGUGCGCAGGCGGUUAUAUAAGACAGAUGUGAAAUCCCCGGGCUCAACCUGGGAACUGCAUUUGUGACUGUAUAGCUAGAGUACGGCAGAGGGGGAUGGAAUUCCGCGUGUAGCAGUGAAAUGCGUAGAUAUGCGGAGGAACACCGAUGGCGAAGGCAAUCCCCUGGGCCUGCACUGACGCUCAUGCACGAAAGCGUGGGGAGCAAACAGGAUUAGAUACCCGUGUAGCCUGUCUCUUAUACAC